CGAUGGACUCGUGUAUAACAGUAUUGCCUAGUAACUGGUUGAUGAAGUUGCGCCAUAUCGCUCAAUUGUAUUGCGAUGUAUUGCGCAAUAUUGCUGCUCGUUGCUGCUUGUUGCCGAAAAUUGCUUGAUGUAGUC
Aricia agestis (brown argus) is the source of this 135-nucleotide long non-coding RNA. RefSeq lists it as uncharacterized. The transcript has 3 exons. Lineage: Eukaryota; Metazoa; Arthropoda; Insecta; Lepidoptera; Lycaenidae. The record is from RefSeq and is a predicted model, not a curated record.